This 89-nucleotide ribosomal RNA is filed under the name Devosia enhydra. Its description in RNAcentral is "partial 16S rRNA. Bacterial SSU". It matches the Rfam family "Bacterial small subunit ribosomal RNA", at positions 19 to 120 of the family's 1533-position model. The record is from RNAcentral. Lineage: Bacteria; Pseudomonadati; Pseudomonadota; Alphaproteobacteria; Hyphomicrobiales; Devosiaceae.
CUGGCUCAGAACGAACGCUGGCGGCAGGCUUAACACAUGCAAGUCGAACGCCCCGCAAGGGGAGUGGCAGACGGGUGAGUAACGCGUGG